GCUGUAUUAAAAAUGAGCAACCCAAGAAGGUUUUGGAAGAGAACUUGCGAAAUAGAUUUCGCUCACUAACAGCGGAAAGGAUGAUGCCAAGGAGGCUGCUUUUGCAGUUUAUGGGGUUCAGCCCUCUACUAGCCAUAGCACAGCCCGAUUUUGCAGCAACAAGACCAAUGCCGAAAAUGAAGGAACCCGAAGUCAUUCAGUAUGUGUUUGUUUGGUUGUGCCCAGGACCUUAAAGCUUCCCAAUGGUGUGAGAUUAUGACUUUUAGAUAAUCUUCAAAGAGUUCGAGGGGCGUGUGCUUCUAGCUUCUGAGUUGGAGCCAAAUUAGGAGCUUCUCAUUUUUGUUUUUUUAGUUGCUAGUUUUCUUUGUUCUUUAUUUUUGGUGUAGUUUGGUUUACAACUUUGAUUCAUGGAGUUUGCUUUUGUAGUUUCUUGUUUAAACUUUGUAUAUUUUAUGAUAAGCAAGAAUUACAUUGUAAUCAUGUAAUUUUUAUGAUUGACAUUGUAAUUUUUAUGUAAUAAAUAAAUGCCUUUAAU
Cannabis sativa is the source of this 535-nucleotide long non-coding RNA. RefSeq lists it as uncharacterized. The transcript has 2 exons. Lineage: Eukaryota; Viridiplantae; Streptophyta; Magnoliopsida; Rosales; Cannabaceae. The record is from RefSeq and is a predicted model, not a curated record.